This 433-nucleotide ribosomal RNA is filed under the name uncultured bacterium. RNAcentral describes it as "partial 16S ribosomal RNA". It matches the Rfam family "Bacterial small subunit ribosomal RNA", at positions 29 to 507 of the family's 1533-position model. The record is from RNAcentral.
AGCGAACGCUGGCGGCAGGCCUAACACAUGCAAGUCGAACGAACUCUUCGGAGUUAGUGGCGGACGGGUGAGUAACACGUGGGAACGUGCCUUUAGGUUCGGAAUAACUCAGGGAAACUUGUGCUAAUACCGAAUGUGCCCUUCGGGGGAAAGAUUUAUCGCCUUUAGAGCGGCCCGCGUCUGAUUAGCUAGUUGGUGAGGUAAAGGCUCACCAAGGCGACGAUCAGUAGCUGGUCUGAGUGGAUGAUCAGCCACAUUGGGACUGAGACACGGCCCAAACUCCUACGGGAGGCAACAGUGGGGAAUCUUGCGCAAUGGGCGAAAGGCUGACGCAGCCAUGCCGCGUGAAUGAUGAAGGUCUGAGGAUUGUAAAAUUCUUGCACCGUGGACGGUAAUGACGGUACCCGGAGAAGAAGCCCCGGCUAACUUCGUG